Ctenopharyngodon idella (grass carp) is the source of this 3481-nucleotide long non-coding RNA. RefSeq lists it as uncharacterized. The transcript has 3 exons. Lineage: Eukaryota; Metazoa; Chordata; Actinopteri; Cypriniformes; Xenocyprididae. The record is from RefSeq and is a predicted model, not a curated record.
AUGAAAAAGAAAGAAGACAUAUAAAUCAUGCAGAUUACAUGAUGUCAGCCGAGUGCAAAUGACAUUAACGGCAACUUUAGAUGUGAUAUUUAUUAGCAUCAGUUGCAGUACAUGCUGAAGGAAUAUUAAACAUAAAGACUGCAAUUUCUGCUCUCCUUAAGAUCACACAAACAAAUCAAAGCAUCAUUUUGUGCAAUGAGUAAAUAUCCAGAAUUGACAUUUUUAAUAUUCUACACUUCGUUCCCCUGCCAGUGCUCAGAGAUCCCUCUGAUAAUUGAUUAUUCAGUCAUCUCUCAUUCUAGUCAAACAGAGAGCAAGCGUGCAGCAUUAUUCCGGCCUGCAUGCAAAAAUACACCUGCCAAACGCAGGCUCCAACAAACACAUGAAAGGAGCCACACAUCAAAGCCUGAGUGUGCUCCACCGUACGUCUCAAUACCAUCUUCCCGUAAAUGUAAGUGCGCCUGGAAGAAUUGCACGAUCUUGUAACCAUUGAGUGUAACUGCUCUCAGAGGGGCUGUAACUGUACGGGAGGAAAGGCAAAAUGAACACCAAUGCAAUAAAACAGAUUUCAAGCACUUUAUCACACUCUAAACAUCCAACGGACAAAAUAUCUCCAGGCUAGGGGCAUUUGAGAUCUCGAGAGCAUGUUUUAGCCUCAAGCAUUUUGGCUACUUUUUGAAUUUGCUUACCACACAUAUUCAGUUUUCUGCAAUACAAACCAAGACAUUUGGAGGGAAAAUAACCUACAUACAACAAUGCAACAUGGCAUUUGUCUUUGUCUUUUUUCAACAUCAUAAGUUCAAACAGGAGCCUUUGGUGAUGGACUACCGUUUGAUCUUCCACUAUGCCAGGGUCUGUGAUGCAUCGCUCCCCUGAUUGCCGCUCUGUGCUAAUGAGCUGAAUUUAACUGGCAGGAGGCGCGAGAGAAGAACUGAAUACUGUGAGCUGUUAAUAGGUUUUACAGCAUAACUCACACAGACACUAAACUAGGAAAAUCUAAAAGUCCUACCAUAUGUUUUCACAAAUCUGUAAUUGAAGAUGAAGAUCAACAGCAUUAAUUAGAACAAACGGCAACACUGACUGACUUAAGAAGAGUCGUGACAGUGGUUCUCAACUGGUGUGUCAAAGGUUACUGAUGGGAACAGAGAAAUUCAAAUAAUAAAAUGCAAUUCCCCAUAUAACCGUGUAUAGUUAGGAUAGCAAAAUAAAUAGGCUAGAUAGAUAUGGGAAAACAAUUCCCAUAUCUUUUGUUGUUGAUGUUAAAGGCUGUGUUUCCAAUCAAACACAUAGAGUCUGUUGAUGCAAAUGCAUCUGUCACUUAUAGUGUUACUGUACUUUAAAUAGUAAAGCAGUUCUCGCCCCCCAUUGACUGCCAUAGUAUUUUUUUUCCUACUAUGGUAGUCAAUGGGGUGCGCGAUCUGCUUGGUUACAAACAUUCUUCCAAAUAUCUUCUUUUGUGUACAGCAGAACAAAGAAAUUUAUACAGGUUUGGAAAAACUUGAGGGUGAGUAAAUGAUGAAAGAAUUUUGAUUUUUGGGUAAACUAUCCCUUUAAUAAAUGUCACAAUUUAAAAUAUAUUUUUUGUUUCUUUUUAUGAAAAAGUAUUUUUUGUACUGUGUUGGGUCAGCACUUGAUAUCCCAUGUAAAAUGUGGGUCCUGAAGAAACAUCAGCUGAUACGACACAUUUCAAAAUGAGAGCUGAUAAAUGACGGAGCACUGAGCGGAUGGAAAGUGACACUUAUAUUGCGCGCCAAAUGUAGCAACAACUUUGUUCAAAGCACGUCAGUGAGAGGAACAAAGUUUUGUCUCUCACAAACCACACAUCCUGGUUGCACAUUAAAAUAGACCCAGUGAUGCAAUCAAGUGCAACUUCCCUUACUGUUAUGUCAUAUGCAAAAUAAGACACUAACUAGGAGAGCACAGGGUUUUAUGUGCUUCUACAUGAUUCAAUACUGAACAUCUGUUUUCCUUACUGCUCAUCUGACCUUUACAAAAAUGUACUGUGGUGAAACCAUGGCAAUGAAGCUUUCUUUCAUAAUACCAAAAAAGUACCAUGAUAUUUACUAUGAUAAUAAUACCAUGGUGUCCUAUACUUUGACAAAUACCAUGUAGGGUUAGGCGCCCAUAUUCAUAUACCAUGCUAUUUACACUCCAAGAAGUUCAGUAAACACCAUUGUAAAAACCAUGGUACUUUCAUUAUAUGAAAAAGCUUUUCAUUAAUGAAUGUCAUAAACCUCAGAGUGAUCUGACUUUAGAUUGUGUGCUUUUAAUUGCACACCGUGGUAGACAAAUCCACAUGUGGUGGCAGUAAAACAAGCAAAUCCAACACUUUUCACACAGAGACAUGAGCUGCCUAUUCCGCUGAGUCUUGGGGUCUUUUAAUCUGCUCAGUCUGUGGAAAGUGCUCUUGAUUGCAACGAUAGGAUGUUCAAAAUUCUCAGAACAAAGACAGAACAUGGGCAUGAUGCUCAAACUGCACUGGCUCUGGAAAUGAAAACAAGAUGGGGAAAAAUUACCCGCCCUCAAUCACCCCCCUCCGCACUCUGAUCUUUUCAUGCGUCGAACACAAAUUAACUCCCCUGAGAGGUGUGUUGAAAAGGGGCAAGAUGAGACGGGGGAGGGGACAGACAGACGGAUGGGGUGUGUCCCUCUUUGCUGCAAAGAGCCUCAAUCGUCUGAUGUACCUCAAAGACUUGUGCUGUCACAACAUAUCGGUGCAUAAAAGUCCAAAACAUUUCAUGCAAUCUCUUGCAUUAGGUUGUUAUCAAAUUGUCGUCAAGCAUCCUAGGCAGUUCAGGUCAACUACUCUCAAGAGUAUCAUGCUGAGCCAAGUUAAAUCACAUAAACAUGUUUAUUGCAGCUAUCUGACCAAUAAAACACCUGGUUUAAUGGCACAGACAAAUUAAGAAGUGCUGAUCCUUUAGCAGACUGGAGACAGAUCAUCUUAAGCAGAAGCCAUCUUGUUUCCGCCCAUCCUGCUGCUGCAGAGAUCAGAUCACCUUCAGCGAUGAAGAAAAGGUGGAGUAUUUCCUAGUGUCUGCGGAGGUUUCUGUGUGUGUGAGUGCAUCAGCUGAGUCUCAGUCUCAGUAGCGUGUGACACUACUCCGCACGCCUGUCUGAUCGCAUUAGACACUGAGACGGUCAUUCUGGACGUAACCCCCCCGGCCCCUCUGCACGGCAGGAAAUGGGGCCACCUUGCCUGAUGCCAUGGCAACCUGACAGGAAGAAGCAAAAAGGACCAACCCUUGGGGUUUCCUUUUGCAUAUGUGUGUGAUGGGACAUACAGACAUAGUGAGAGAGAGAGAGCCGGGAAAGAGCUGAAUGAAAGAAUGAAUGAAAGACAGAGAGAACCACCUGAGUGGGUUAGUGAAUCUGGAAUAUAAAUACACAGUUGAGAGAUUACAGUAAUAAGGCCCUAAAGGAAACAAAGAUGAAAUAGAUGAAUGAAUCUCUUUAAUCUCUUGGAACUAUCCAGUUAAGA